RNAcentral lists this unclassified non-coding RNA (379 nucleotides) under uncultured Penicillium. RNAcentral's name for it is "sequence contains ITS2". The stretch from base 1 to 153 matches the Rfam family "5.8S ribosomal RNA". The record is from RNAcentral. Lineage: Eukaryota; Fungi; Ascomycota; Eurotiomycetes; Eurotiales; Aspergillaceae.
AACUUUUGACAAUGGAUCACUUGGUUCCGGCAUCGAUGAAGAACGCAGCGAAAUGCGAUACGUAAUGUGAAUUGCAAAUUCAGUGAAUCAUCGAGUCUUUGAACGCACAUUGCGCCCUCUGGUAUUCCGGAGGGCAUGCCUGUCCGAGCGUCAUUGCUGCCCUCAAGCACGGCUUGUGUGUUGGGCCCCGUCCUCCGCUCCCGGGGGACGGGCCCGAAAGGCAGCGGCGGCACCGCGUCCGGUCCUCGAGCGUAUGGGGCUUUGUCACCCGCUCUGUAGGCCCGGCCGGCGCUUGCCGAUCAACCAAAUUUUUAUCCAGGUUGACCUCGGAUCAGGUAGGGAUACCCGCUGAACUUAAGCAUAUCAAUAAGCGGAGGCU